ACACAUGAACAACUUUCAAAAAAUUUCUCCAAUCUCAAUUCAAUAAAUAUUUUGCGUUAAAACUGUUAGCAUAACACUCGAGCUAUUAAUUUACGUCACAGUAUUUUUUUUUUUCAAUCGAAAAGGGAAAUAACCGAUUGAUCACACAUUAAUGCUGAAUUAUGUGUUUGUGUGGUUACAUUGGAAGAGACAAUACAAAAUAGGUGAUGUGGCCUCUGCUAACGUUGGGAGGUCACAACCCCCAGUGAUCUGUAGAAGUAUUCCACUCGGCAUGAUUAACGUAUCAACAAUUUAUAUAUUUCCCAUUACUUUCGUCACAAUGGCAAUGUCGUAUCGCACUACCCCAAGCAGAGAGGUCACCAUUGACCACUGAUUGAGCCGGCAAUAUCACAGUGUAAAUAAUUAUCAUGCGUGUACCACGUUGAAUGGUACGAAGAGAAAUAUCCAGUGGAAAUUACGGAGCUCAAGUUCACGUACCGAUUACGAAGCAAAUUUCUCAAUUUCAUGUUCCAAUUAUCGGUGUGUGACUUUUAACUUCAUGAAACAAUGAAUAUUGAAUACCGGAAAGGUCACUAGUACAAAAUUAUAAUCCACAUGCGGCACAGUAGUUGAAUCGUCAGUGAGUAAUCAUAGGAAAUUGUUCGGCUAAACAUUAUGCAAUUUUAUACAAAAGAAUAGCUUAUCAGUUUGUCUCCUUUCGCUAAUUUGUCUACACCUCUGAUAUUCUGUAGCGUAAAUAUUAGAAAAAUAAUACGAUAAUGAUGUUUAUAAUUGACUGUUCUGAGGCGAAGGAGAGUGAAGUUCUUCCUGGGGAGGCCAACAGCAAUUCGAAAUUUUGGAAUGACUCAUGGGGAAUGGGUUUUGUUAAUGUUAAGAGUGAAAUUAUUGAAAAACGAAAAAGGGAAAGAAGAAACGGGGCAAGAAAAGGGCGUUAACGUCGCGGAGACUGACGGCCGCGAUGGCGCUAGUCUCACGUAAGAUUCAUACAUACAUCGAUGAAUAAGGGACUCAGCAGUGGGGGUACGUAGUGAAAGUGAGUCAACGGUCAACCAUUGUUUAGGAAGCCUCGAUGGGCCUUCAGUGAUUCUCAUCAGACCAACAAAUACAUUUUAAAAAACCGAAAUAAAUGGUUAAAAAAGAAAACAGAAUGAUUACUCAACUUUUGUAUCAAAAUCCAGCCACAUUUUUCUUCCCCAUGGACGUUCACUUUCGAUUCAACUUUUCGCUUUCACCAGAUUUGACAUUGAGAAGCACUCGUACUACGUUAAGUGCCACGGCCUUCACCGUCCAUUGGCAUUAAUUAUGCAAUAAGCCAGUUGCAUGACAUCAGAGACUAUCCUGGGGAUGCCAAAUACCUUUUACCACCAAUGGGGUUCGCUAAAAAAAU
Long non-coding RNA from Diachasmimorpha longicaudata, 1387 nucleotides. RefSeq lists it as uncharacterized. The transcript is spliced from 3 exons. Lineage: Eukaryota; Metazoa; Arthropoda; Insecta; Hymenoptera; Braconidae. The record is from RefSeq and is a predicted model, not a curated record.